RNAcentral lists this unclassified non-coding RNA (200 nucleotides) under soil metagenome. RNAcentral's name for it is "partial contains internal transcribed spacer 2 and large subunit ribosomal RNA". The record is from RNAcentral.
UGCUGCGUAACUGCGGCUCGUCUCAAAAGCGUUAGCGCGGCUUUAGAUGAAGCGUUUGAUGCCCAGUGUAAUAAGUAUUUCGCUGUGGUUAGCAUUAGUCUGGAGUUGUUGUGCUCUCUAAUCGUCCUCGAUUGGACUGACCAGCAAUGGUUAUUUGACAACUUGGCCUCAAAUCGGGUAGGACUACCCGCUGAACUUAA